This 1006-nucleotide long non-coding RNA is filed under the name Chloebia gouldiae (Gouldian finch). RNAcentral's name for it is "Erythrura gouldiae (Gouldian finch) lncRNA (ENSEGOG00005018411.1)". Lineage: Eukaryota; Metazoa; Chordata; Aves; Passeriformes; Passeridae. The record is from RNAcentral.
CCUGGAGCUGGGGACAGGGGAGGGGACAAAUCCCUCCAUGGGGCCACUCUGGGGGCUCCAGAAAUCCAAAAAUCCAGAAAAAUCCCAAAGUAAUCCCCCAAAACCCCAAAAAAUCCCAAAGAAAUCUCAAAAAAAUCCUAAAAAAAACAGAAAAAAAAGUGCUGAGGGGAAGGUGUGGGCUGAGUGUGAAUCUGUGGGAUUCGGCUGGGCCAUGCCAGAGACUCCAGAAAUCCCAAAAUCCCCCAAAAAUCCCCAAGAAAUCCCAAAAUAUCCCCAAAAAAACCCAAAAAUCUCAAAGAAAUCCCAAAGAAAUCAAAAAAAAAACCAGGAAAAAAGUGCUGAGGGGAAGGUGUGGGCUGAGUGUGGCUCUGUGGGAUUGGGCUGGUUCAUGCCAGGGACCCCAGAAAUCCCAAAAAUCCAAAGGAAAUCCCAAAGAAAUUCCAAAGAAAUCCCAAAACCCCAAAAAAUCCCAAAAAAAUGCAAAAAAACAGGAAAAAAGUGCUGAGGGGAAGGUGUGGCUGAGCCUUGACCUUCAAACCCUGGCAGAUCCCGAUCCCAGGGGCUGGAGUGGCUCAGGGAAAUCCCAAAAAAAAACCCAAAUUCCCCCCCAAAAGACCCAAAUUCCCCCCAGAAGGCCCAAAUUCUCUCCAAAAGACCCAAAUUCCCCCAUCCCAGAGCCACAGGAGCUCCAGGAGCGGGUUUGGCUCAAAAACUUCCCAACCCUUUCCCUGCAGGACUUCGGAGUUCAAACCCUGCUGGAUCCCGAUCCCAAUGCCAGGGGCUGGAGUGGUUCUGGGAAAUCCAAAAAAACCCCCAAAUUCCCCCCAAAAGACCCAAAUUCUCUCCAAAAGACCCAAAUUCCCCCCAAAAGGCCCCAGAUUCCCCCAUCCCAGAGCCACGGGAGCUCCAGGAGCGGGUUUGCCCCUGAACCCACGCCAGCGCUGCCAUGCCCGUGCCAUGCCUGCUGUCGCAGUGCUGUGCCCACCGCUGUGCCCGCUGCUGUGGU